This 297-nucleotide RNase P RNA is filed under the name Trichodesmium thiebautii VI-I. RNAcentral describes it as "partial rnpB". It matches the Rfam family "Bacterial RNase P class A", at positions 46 to 323 of the family's 367-position model. Rfam says of the family: Ribonuclease P (RNase P) is a ubiquitous endoribonuclease, found in archaea, bacteria and eukarya as well as chloroplasts and mitochondria. Its best characterised activity is the generation of mature 5'-ends of tRNAs by cleaving the 5'-leader elements of precursor-tRNAs. The record is from RNAcentral. Lineage: Bacteria; Bacillati; Cyanobacteriota; Cyanophyceae; Oscillatoriales; Microcoleaceae.
GAAAGUCCGGGCUCCCUAAAGACCAGGCUUGUUGGAUAACGCCCAGUGCGAGUGAUCGUGAGGAUAGUGCCACAGAAAAAUACCGCCCUGUUGAUCAGGGUAAGGGUGCAAAGGUGCGGUAAGAGCGCACCAGCAGUGUCGUGAGGCACUGGCUCGGUAAACCCCGGCUGGGAGCAAGGUUGGAGGGAUAAUGGUUGGUCUUUUUCCAGUUCCGUUGCGUUCAUAGAUUCAUCUAUGAUGCUAGGCAUACCGCAAGAGGUGUCUGGUAACAGACAUCCCAGAUAGAUAACUGCCCUC